RNAcentral lists this ribosomal RNA (468 nucleotides) under uncultured bacterium. RNAcentral describes it as "partial 16S ribosomal RNA". It matches the Rfam family "Bacterial small subunit ribosomal RNA", at positions 28 to 507 of the family's 1533-position model. The record is from RNAcentral.
GACGAACGCUGGCGGCGUGCUUAACACAUGCAAGUCGAACGGAAAGGCCCUGCUUUUGUGGGGUGCUCGAGUGGCGAACGGGUGAGUAACACGUGAGUAACCUGCCCUUGACUUUGGGAUAACUUCAGGAAACUGGGGCUAAUACCGGAUAGGAGCUCCUGCUGCAUGGUGGGGGUUGGAAAGUUUCGGCGGUUGGGGAUGGACUCGCGGCUUAUCAGCUUGUUGGUGGGGUAGUGGCUUACCAAGGCUUUGACGGGUAGCCGGCCUGAGAGGGUGACCGGCCACAUUGGGACUGAGAUACGGCCCAGACUCCUACGGGAGGCAGCAGUGGGGAAUGUUGCACAAGGGGCGGAAGCCUGAUGCAGCAACGCCGCGUGCGGGAUGACGGCCUUCGGGUUGUAAACCGCUUUCGCCUGUGACGAAGCGUGAGUGACGGUAAUGAGUAAAGAAGCACCGGCUAACUACGUG